GCUCCUCCUCCACCCGCGGCCGCGGAGACCGCGCACUUCUCUUCCUCGCUCACUCCUCCCCGCGUCCUCGCAGGAGCGACUCCCCACUGCCUCCGCUCCUCCGCGUCCUCGCCGGAGCAGCCGCGGCCGUCCUCCUCGCUCCCGCCGCUACGCCGUGGCCGUCCUCCUUCUUCCCCACCGCCGCGCCCCGCUGCCGGCGCUACGCCGCGUCCUCGCCGGAGCCGCCGCCGUAUCGUGCUUCUCCCACUCGGAUCAGCCGCCGGAGCCGACUUCGGCCCCUUCUCCACCGCCGGAACUGAACUCGACCUCGGCCCCUAUAGUACAAUGAACAAUCAGAUAAUUACAUUGAGGUGAUCUCACUCGCUGCCGUGCCUCCUCGCGACUCCCCGCCGCACGCCACCGCAUCGCGUGCCCCUCCGCUCCCAGACCGGCGCUCACCUCUCUCCUCCGUUCCACCAUCACAGGGGGCAGUGAGCCGGUGAAAGUCCCCGUAGUAAGACCAAGGAUUGUGGCUUCUGCGACGACCCCAAUUCCGUUGGGCUCCACGAUUUCUGACUCCCUCGGCCUCAACGGUGCCCCUUGCCCGUCUGACCUUUCUUUAUGUCUGUCGUUGAAGGAUUUGCAGUGGUGGUUGGUUAAUGGUUAGGCAGCUCUGAUUCAAGGAACUCUCUUAUAUUAUUUGGAUUAUGGGAGCUUUCUGUUCAUCUUUGCAAGCUGAUUACUCUGACCACUAUCAAGGUAAGGGUGGAUGGUCUGAACAUGGAGUACUGCGGUGGUCUGGUCAGCAAUAAACAGGUGGAUCGGUUGGUACCUGAUUCAAGCUAGCCACGGUCCAUCUCCAAGUAUAUUUUUCUAACCCAUUUACAACUUUGUCCAGUCCUACCAUUAGUUUCCAGUGAGUACAAACCAGUUUGAUUCAAGCUAAAUAAAGUAAUUCUUUUCUUCACAAUUCUUGUAGAAAAUAUUAGAAAAAUCCACUUUGAUUCAAGCUAUACAAAAAAUAAUGUAAAAAGAUCACGAUGAUUGUAUUUUUAGCACUUAAUGUUUAGUGGCAACGUAAGAGUUAAACCACCCAUAGUUUGUGCCUUCGUGGUAGUCCUAUACCUUGUGCGCUGGUUAGAUCCUAAUUGGAAUCGCCUCUAUUAUAUGGUCUUUGUAUGGGAGAGUUGUGUGCAAAAUAAAAUCAUAUUAUGUUCCUAAAUUUUUGCAACUUGUAAAGGCUCCUUCGGCUGCUGUCACCCAGCCACGGAAGCAUGAGCCAGGAAAUGUCGCAUAAGCUGAAUCUGAAAUGCCAUUCUUCUUUGAGUAAAUCCCUUAUGUACACAUGAAAACUCACCUAAUAUUUUCUAUACCCUCGAAUUUUACACGAUCCUCUGUGUACCCCUGAAAUUUCGUUUUGAUCCCUUCCAUGCCUCUCCCGUUAGGUUUCCAUUAGAUACGUUGCUCAAACCGUGUAUUGUGUUGUCAGUAUUUUUAGAAAAUACCAAAAUGCCCCUGCCAACCCUAACUAAAGUUCCCCUUUCCUUCUCCCGCAUCCUCUUCCACGCGAACGGCCUCUGCGCGCCGCCGUCCCGCUGCCCUCCGGCCACGCGCGUCGUCGUCCAGCCGCCCUCCCGCCGCGCGGGGCGCCGGCCACCACCCCUCUGGCCGCGCGCGCCGUCGUCCAGCCGCCGUCACGCCGCGUGGGGCGCCGUCGUCCAGCCGCCCUCCCGCCGCGCGGGCGUCGCCGGCCACCGCCCUCCCGCCGCACGAGCCGCCGGCUACCACGCCCCUGCCGCACGGGCAGUCGGCCGCCGCCCCUCCGGCCGCGCGCGCGCCGUCGUCCAGCCGCCGUCACGCCGCGCGGGGCGUCGCCGGCCACCGCCCUCCCGCCGCGCGCGCCGUCGUCCAGCCGCCGUCACGCCGCCACCGCCCCUCCCACCGCGUGAGCGUCGCCGGCCACCGCGCCCCCGCCGCACGGGCCGCCAGCCACCGCCCCUCCCACCGCGCGGGCCGCGGGCCGCCGCCCCUCCUGCCGCGCGGGCAUCGCCGGCCAUCUCCCUCCUGCUGCCACUCUAGAUGGCACUCUUCCAUCUACAGGGGUGUUUUAGACAUUAGGAACCACACAUAAUGUGAAAAUGAAGGAAACCUAAUGGAAAGGGCAUGGAAGGUAUCAAAGCAAAAUUUUAGGGGUACAGAGGGGAUCGUGUAAAAUUGGAGGGUAUAGAAGAGAUUAGGUGAGUUUUCAUGUGUACACAAGGGAUUUACUCUUCUUCUUUCAUUUUGCACCGUUGUGAAUUUGCGAUCCGAGAUGCGCUUUCCUGCCCUUAUGUGGCCACAUAAGCUGCAACUCUCCGAUCAAUGCCUCUCCUCACCAGCAAUAGUAGCGGGAGAAGCCUAGGUUCAGCAAUCAGGAGGGAAGGCAGCAAGGCAAGCAAUGGCAUCCUCUGCAAUCAAUAAAGAUGGAGCUUGGCUCAUAAAUGCAAUGGGUGAUUUAUGGCCUUUAAAGGGUUUCACUGCAUAAGAUCAAGAUGAGUAUAUUUGAAGUAGCGGGGUGAAGAGAAGCUAUUAUGUACAUGGUGGAGCUGGAGAUGUGGAGUCAUUUUUUUGGAUUAUAUAAUGUAGACAGUGGAGUUCAUUUCAAUGCCAUAAAGACAUAUAUUGCUCUGAGCUUUUCAAAUGUUUAUCGAGCUUUAUAUGACAAAUUAUGUAGCUGCUUUGCAUUUUUUAGUGUUUAAAAGCGGUUAUAAAGUAGUAUGUCAAAUUACAUUAGUAGAUAACUCUGAGUAUGUAUGUUUUGUGUGAUAUAUAUUACAGGAAAAUGCAAUAAAUUUUGUCUUUA
Long non-coding RNA from Oryza sativa Japonica Group (Japanese rice), 2821 nucleotides. RefSeq lists it as uncharacterized. Lineage: Eukaryota; Viridiplantae; Streptophyta; Magnoliopsida; Poales; Poaceae. The record is from RefSeq and is a predicted model, not a curated record.